GUGCACUGCACCAUGUUCCAGCCCACACUUUGUCUUAGCUCAUUAAAUGAGCUUGUAGAAAAAUUGGCAAGAAGUCAACAAAGCAAAUUGAACUUGCUGGAGGAGAUUGUCCGAAAGAGAAGAAAUUGGGUUCAUCUUUUCCUCUAUAAUUAUGUACAAAAGUCCAUCAACAUUUAUGAAGGGGUGUACAAAAGUCAAGCCACAUAAAUGACUAUGUGAUGUUAAACUUGUGCCAUACACUGUGAAAGGGAGAAAAGAAGAAAAGGUGAAAGAAAUAAAAGGGUAGAGGCCAUUCGGCCAUUUGGGCAGAGGGCUGAAGAAGUGAAGUCCCGAAGAAAAGAAGUGAAAGUCCCAAAGUGUGAGGACUAGUGCAGUCUUGAAGAGCUGCGUGAGUGAGAGCAAGCAAGAGAGAAGAGAAAAAUAGAGAGAGUAAGAGAAAAUACACAGUGAGGAAGAGAGCAGUGAGUAAAAAGAAAAAGAGAGUUUUUUUUCUCAAAUUGUAUCUCUAAGUGUUGUAAUCUCUAUUUUAUAUAGUGAAAUUAUUCGGAGUUUGUCCCGUGGUUUUUCCCUUCAAGGAGAAAGGGUUUCCACGUAAA
Quercus robur (English oak) is the source of this 596-nucleotide long non-coding RNA. RefSeq lists it as uncharacterized. NCBI's taxonomy places the organism in Eukaryota, Viridiplantae, Streptophyta, Magnoliopsida, Fagales, Fagaceae. The record is from RefSeq and is a predicted model, not a curated record. The transcript is spliced from 2 exons.